Maylandia zebra (zebra mbuna) is the source of this 602-nucleotide non-coding RNA. Lineage: Eukaryota; Metazoa; Chordata; Actinopteri; Cichliformes; Cichlidae. The record is from RefSeq and is a predicted model, not a curated record.
GCCAGCUGUGUGUCCUUAAGGAGUGACCUGUCUAAAAGUCACCCCAUUGAUUUUAAAGUCCAGCCUGUGUCUGCUGCAGAGAGAGUGGACCAGCAGAGCUCAGAGGUUCCCAGUGGUCCCUUUCAGAACACCAAGGACUCUGUGGACUAAAUGACCAAAAGAAACAAACUUUGAAAUCAGACGGUGCAAAUGUGAUCACAGGGAAACGUUUUAAACAUCGAGGCUUUAAACAGAAACCAAAGUGAAACAGUUUGUAGUCGAGAUCAGUGGGAAUGAAGCUGAAUAACUGUUUCUUCAAUAUCUUUGAGCUCUUAAAGAAGAAAAACUAGCUGAAAGUCUGGCUGCUCUUAUGAAAAGUACAGAGAAAUUAUGGGUCGCUCAACACUUGUGCACAAUAUAGGAGUUUAAAUAAAUCUGAAGAAUAACUCAAAGUCCUACAAUCAUACUGAUAAAGUCAUCUACAGCUAACUAUCCAAGUGGAUUUGUUUAAGACAGCUCCAUCUGCUGGUGGCCCUCUGCAGGUGCAUGAAAGGGGCGUGUUUAUAGUGAAAGUAGUAGAGAAAGUAAACCCCACGGGAAGGAGGAGGACUCUCAGCAGCUUC